Molecule: long non-coding RNA, 210 nt
Filed under: Lathyrus oleraceus (garden pea)
Lineage: Eukaryota; Viridiplantae; Streptophyta; Magnoliopsida; Fabales; Fabaceae
Description: Pisum sativum (pea) long non-coding RNA (PSAT_LNC036281)
Source: RNAcentral
AAAUCCAAGUGGAAUUGGGCCCUCCAUGCGCCUGUACAGGCCCAUGCAUGGAGGCCCUUCCCAUCCAUGCAACAUUUUGAUCAUGCAUUUCAGCCAUGCUUUUGCUAUAAAUACAAUGCUCAUGCCUCUCAUUUGAGCAACCUGAAGGCGCCUGAAACUCUGUUAGAUUGAAUCCCUACCCUCACACCAAAGGAACUCUCUCUUUUCUUC